RNAcentral lists this ribosomal RNA (1326 nucleotides) under Staphylococcus aureus. RNAcentral describes it as "bacterial SSU rRNA". It matches the Rfam family "Bacterial small subunit ribosomal RNA", at positions 224 to 1533 of the family's 1533-position model. Lineage: Bacteria; Bacillati; Bacillota; Bacilli; Caryophanales; Staphylococcaceae. The record is from RNAcentral.
GAUGGAUCCGCGCUGCAUUAGCUAGUUGGUAAGGUAACGGCUUACCAAGGCAACGAUGCAUAGCCGACCUGAGAGGGUGAUCGGCCACACUGGAACUGAGACACGGUCCAGACUCCUACGGGAGGCAGCAGUAGGGAAUCUUCCGCAAUGGGCGAAAGCCUGACGGAGCAACGCCGCGUGAGUGAUGAAGGUCUUCGGAUCGUAAAACUCUGUUAUUAGGGAAGAACAUAUGUGUAAGUAACUGUGCACAUCUUGACGGUACCUAAUCAGAAAGCCACGGCUAACUACGUGCCAGCAGCCGCGGUAAUACGUAGGUGGCAAGCGUUAUCCGGAAUUAUUGGGCGUAAAGCGCGCGUAGGCGGUUUUUUAAGUCUGAUGUGAAAGCCCACGGCUCAACCGUGGAGGGUCAUUGGAAACUGGAAAACUUGAGUGCAGAAGAGGAAAGUGGAAUUCCAUGUGUAGCGGUGAAAUGCGCAGAGAUAUGGAGGAACACCAGUGGCGAAGGCGACUUUCUGGUCUGUAACUGACGCUGAUGUGCGAAAGCGUGGGGAUCAAACAGGAUUAGAUACCCUGGUAGUCCACGCCGUAAACGAUGAGUGCUAAGUGUUAGGGGGUUUCCGCCCCUUAGUGCUGCAGCUAACGCAUUAAGCACUCCGCCUGGGGAGUACGACCGCAAGGUUGAAACUCAAAGGAAUUGACGGGGACCCGCACAAGCGGUGGAGCAUGUGGUUUAAUUCGAAGCAACGCGAAGAACCUUACCAAAUCUUGACAUCCUUUGACAACUCUAGAGAUAGAGCCUUCCCCUUCGGGGGACAAAGUGACAGGUGGUGCAUGGUUGUCGUCAGCUCGUGUCGUGAGAUGUUGGGUUAAGUCCCGCAACGAGCGCAACCCUUAAGCUUAGUUGCCAUCAUUAAGUUGGGCACUCUAAGUUGACUGCCGGUGACAAACCGGAGGAAGGUGGGGAUGACGUCAAAUCAUCAUGCCCCUUAUGAUUUGGGCUACACACGUGCUACAAUGGACAAUACAAAGGGCAGCGAAACCGCGAGGUCAAGCAAAUCCCAUAAAGUUGUUCUCAGUUCGGAUUGUAGUCUGCAACUCGACUACAUGAAGCUGGAAUCGCUAGUAAUCGUAGAUCAGCAUGCUACGGUGAAUACGUUCCCGGGUCUUGUACACACCGCCCGUCACACCACGAGAGUUUGUAACACCCGAAGCCGGUGGAGUAACCUUUUAGGAGCUAGCCGUCGAAGGUGGGACAAAUGAUUGGGGUGAAGUCGUAACAAGGUAGCCGUAUCGGAAGGUGCGGCUGGAUCACCUCCUUUCUAAGGA